This 427-nucleotide ribosomal RNA is filed under the name uncultured bacterium. Its description in RNAcentral is "bacterial SSU rRNA". It matches the Rfam family "Bacterial small subunit ribosomal RNA", at positions 355 to 774 of the family's 1533-position model. The record is from RNAcentral.
UGGGGAAUUUUGGACAAUGGGCGCAAGCCUGAUCCAGCCAUGCCGCGUGCAGGAUGAAGGCCUUCGGGUUGUAAACUGCUUUUGUACGGAACGAAACGGUCUGCCCUAAUACGGCGGGCUAAUGACAGUACCGUAAGAAUAAGCACCGGCUAACUACGUGCCAGCAGCCGCGGUAAUACGUAGGGUGCGAGCGUUAAUCGGAAUUACUGGGCGUAAAGCGUGCGCAGGCGGUUAUGUAAGACAGUUGUGAAAUCCCCGGGCUCAACCUGGGAACUGCAUCUGUGACUGCAUCGCUGGAGUGCGGCAGAAGGGGAUGGAAUUCCGCGUGUAGCAGUGAAAUGCGUAGAUAUGCGGAGGAACACCGAUUGCGAAGGCAAUCCCCUGGGCCUGCACUGACGCUCAUGCACGAAAGCGUGGGGAGCAAACA